RNAcentral lists this long non-coding RNA (1060 nucleotides) under Vulpes vulpes (red fox). RNAcentral's name for it is "lncRNA (ENSVVUG00000025688.1)". Lineage: Eukaryota; Metazoa; Chordata; Mammalia; Carnivora; Canidae. The record is from RNAcentral.
AAGAGCUCCCGGAUGUGGGUGUCUCUUGUCCAUUCCUCGAUUCCCAGGGCUUAUUAGCACAAUGCUGGACACAUACCAAGUACCAAUAAAUAGAUAUGGAAUGCAACGAUGAAUCCAGGUUUUGGAGAACCUGAAUUUUCUAUAAUCGGGGCAUGAGGAAGAAGGUGCGACUCUUGAGCCCAAAAAGGGUUGUGGGAGAAAAGUUCUUUCUGUCCGGCAGCAGCCAUCGGCUCAAAGGGAAGCCAAGAUGGGCUCUUACAAGUACAUCUGGGAGCUCUGGAGGAAGAAGCACUCCACAGCCCACCCCCCGACCCCGCCUGACGAAGCCCACGACUGGGGUUCAAGGCCAAGCAAGUUUAUGCGCUAUAUCAGAUUUGUGUGUGUCGUGGUGGCCACAAACCUCCAGUUCCUAAGGGCACUACGACAGCAAGCUGGUCCGUCAUGGUUGUUAACCAGCUGGUUUGCCAGAAGCCUUCAGUCUGAUGCAGAGGCGUGAGCUGGACGCCACUGUGCGGCUCUUGAGCGUCUUGACUUCCCAUCGGGCUGGUGAAGAUUCCAUAUACAAGUUCUUUGAGAUUAUCUUCAUUGAUCCAUUCCAUAAAACUAUCAUCAGAAACCCUGACACCCGGUGGAUCACCAAGCAGUCCACAAGCACAGGGAGAUUCAAGGGCUGACAUCCACAGGCCGCAAGAGCCAUGGCCUUGGAAAGGGUCCCAAGUUCCACCAUCUAUUGGUGGUUCUUGCCAAGCGACAUGGAGAAGACACAACACUCUCCAGCUCCACCAUUACUGCUGAUAGGAAUUGGGCAGAAGCAAGAAUUUCUUUCAAGAAUGAUCGAUGAAAGUGCAACCGAUCUAGUCCCCACUCCGUCUAAACAUCAGACAAGGAUCACCGAGCUCGGCAAACAGGGCCAGACAGUCGGCCCGGUUCCGUCCCGGGAGGGGACUGUGCGGCGAGUCCAUCACAGGCUCAUCACGGAGCCGCCGUCCGAAUCCUACAGCAGGUAGGUGCAGCCUUUCGCUGCAAGGGAGGGAUUGCCUGCCUAGGAAAACUCAGGCUU